This 478-nucleotide ribosomal RNA is filed under the name uncultured bacterium. Its description in RNAcentral is "partial 16S ribosomal RNA". It matches the Rfam family "Bacterial small subunit ribosomal RNA", at positions 28 to 523 of the family's 1533-position model. The record is from RNAcentral.
GACGAACGCUGGCGGCGUGCUUAACACAUGCAAGUCGAACGGUAAGGCCCUUCGGGGUACACGAGUGGCGAACGGGUGAGUAACACGUGGGUGAUCUGCCCUGCACUUCGGGAUAAGCCUGGGAAACUGGGUCUAAUACCGGAUAGGACCCUGGGAUGCAUGUCCUGGGGUGGAAAGCUUUUGCGGUGUGGGAUGGGCCCGCGGCCUAUCAGCUUGUUGGUGGGGUGAUGGCCUACCAAGGCGACGACGGGUAGCCGGCCUGAGAGGGUGACCGGACACACUGGGACUGAGGUACGGCCCAGACGCCUACGGGAGGCAGCAGUGGGGAAUAUUGCACAAUGGGCGCAAGCCUGAUGCAGCGACGCCGCGUGAGGGAUGUCGGCCUUCGGGUUGUAAACCUCUUUCAGCACCGACGAAGCGCAAGUGACGGUAGGUGCAGAAGAAGGACCGGCCAACUACGUGCCAGCAGCCGCGGUAA